GAUGAACGCUGGCGGCGUGCCUAAUACAUGCAAGUCGAGCGAACGGACGAGAAGCUUGCUUCUCUGAUGUUAGCGGCGGACGGGUGAGUAACACGUGGAUAACCUACCUAUAAGACUGGGAUAACUUCGGGAAACCGGAGCUAAUACCGGAUAAUAUUUUGAACCGCAUGGUUCAAAAGUGAAAGACGGUCUUGCUGUCACUUAUAGAUGGAUCCGCGCUGCAUUAGCUAGUUGGUAAGGUAACGGCUUACCAAGGCAACGAUGCAUAGCCGACCUGAGAGGGUGAUCGGCCACACUGGAGCUGGGACACGGUCCAGACUCCUACGGGAGGCAGCAGUAGGGAAUCUUCCGCAAUGGGCGAAAGCCUGACGGAGCAACGCCGCGUGAGUGAUGAAGGUCUUCGGAUCGUAAAACUCUGUUAUUAGGGAAGAACAUAUGUGUAAGUAACUGUGCACAUCUUGACGGUACCUAAUCAGAAAGCCACGGCUAACUACGUG
This 497-nucleotide ribosomal RNA is filed under the name uncultured bacterium. Its description in RNAcentral is "partial 16S ribosomal RNA". It matches the Rfam family "Bacterial small subunit ribosomal RNA", at positions 28 to 507 of the family's 1533-position model. The record is from RNAcentral.